GCCACCGUGGAUGGCUCAGUUGGUAGAGCAUGAGACUCUAAAUCUGAGGGUUGUGGGCUUGAGCCCCAUGUUGGGCA
Non-coding RNA from Podarcis lilfordi (Lilford's wall lizard), 77 nucleotides. NCBI's taxonomy places the organism in Eukaryota, Metazoa, Chordata, Lepidosauria, Squamata, Lacertidae. The record is from the annotation of a GenBank genome assembly.